GGGGGUGUAGCUCAGUUGGUUAGAGCGCCGGCCUGUCACGCCGGAGGCCGCGGGUUCGAGCCCCGUCACUCCCGCCA
Molecule: transfer RNA, 77 nt
Filed under: Chelatococcus sambhunathii
Lineage: Bacteria; Pseudomonadati; Pseudomonadota; Alphaproteobacteria; Hyphomicrobiales; Chelatococcaceae
Also listed under: 15 other names
Description: tRNA_Asp_GTC
Rfam family: tRNA
About the family: Transfer RNA (tRNA) molecules are approximately 80 nucleotides in length.
Source: RNAcentral